AUGUAGGCCACGGCCACCGCCGUGUAGCAGCCCGAAAGGAAGAUGAUGGGCCGCUCCGGGUAGCUGAACCGCUUCAUGUCCACCAGGAUAAAGAUUUAUCCAGGACAACUUCUUACCUUCCUUCUUGUCUUGAGCUCCUGCACCACCUAAGGAUGUGCUGAAAACCACCUGAGCAUGCAAGUAGAGCCAAGUCUGCUGUCCCUCCCUGCGACAGAGCCUGGCACAGCUGAGCACCACACUCCUCUGGAGAUGAGUCUCCUCCUGCUUGCCACUCCACGGCAAAUGAGGCACAGCUGGAGCCUGCAGGGUUUCUGUGAAGCACAGAACAGCAAAUGCAGAAUGAUCCCUAGAGGAUGUGUAGAUGGACAAGCAGCCAAGGUGGACACUUCCCAGCUGGCUUUCAGAACUGGCAAAGCCACAAGGUAAGGAGGACUGAGGAGAGUCUGGCAUGGGACAGGUUUUAUCCUGAGUAACCCAGGAGGAUUUGAAAAGUGCAAUAGCCCUGGGGACUCCUCUGGAAACUCAGCUUCUGCCCAGAGUCUUGCUCUCAGCUCCAUCAUUUUAAGCAUCCCAUAAAGACACCUGGUGGGAAUCUGGGUCUGAGGCAAAGAAAGAGACCAACUUUCACUACCAAAUUAAAUGGGACCAACUUCCACCAAAUCCAGAGGGACCAACCCUCGCUCACAACAAAUGGGACAACUUUUACACCCCAGACACCUGGAGAACAAAGCAGGCAGCCCAAACAUCAAAGCCAUUUACUCUGCAGCUUAGUGGCAAAGGCUGCGUUUCCUCAGUGUUCUGUAAGUAGCUGAUGCUGAAGAUGCUGCCGGUGGAACAGGCAGCUGGGUGCCUUUGCUUGUGAGCUGCAGAGAUUGCUCAGCCUUUGGAGAGUAGCUAAAAUAAACCCUCCCUAUUCUUUCUCUGCUGACAGGAAGCCAGCACACUUCUGCCCCUUGUUAACCAACUCAGUGCACUUUUCACUCCAUAAAUCUCGCAUUACUUCCUUCCUUUGCUUUUCUUCUGCACCAGAAGGAGAAAGUUUUUAACAGAAGGGCUCUAAGGCAGCAGGAGGAAAACAGCAAAUCAGGGAGGAAGCUGCAUAAGGAAAGUAAAUCCAAAGUAAUAAAAUGAUGGAGAUCCAGCAAGCUUUGCUGGGUUGGGGGGGAAAUGGCUUUGGAGCUGGCUGAAUCCAAAGCUGGAGAAACCUGGCAUGUGAGAGAGCACCACUAAAAGUCAGCCCUGCACCUAGCAGAGGGGAUGGGAAAUGAGGUAAUGACUUAUAACAAAGAUAGGGGCAAAACCUGCCAGGUUUGCAGGUCUGCAACGAGAUGCACAUGGGAGUAACAACUGCUAAAUGGCAGGCAGGCAGAGCAGUCUUGAGGGGAGAACAGCACGGAGCAGUUUAACCAAGAGGCAAACAAUCUGCUCUGCAGCACAGAACCAGAGAGAGCACUGCCCAGCGCUCGCCCGGCUAACCAGGGCUGGCUGCAGCCUUCCAGUGUCCCAGCAAGGCUUCGGCUGCACCUGAGGAGAUACCAGUAAUGAAGCACAUCUUUCCUGGCAGGUGUUUUAGAAGUUCUCCAAGUGACAAGAGUGCAGCACAAAUGGAAGUGUCUGUGGUCAAAAGGGCUUCUGCCAGGCACAGGAUCAGGGAAUGACAGAAUGGAGGGGUUGGAAGGGACCUCUGGAGAUCAUAGGUAUUAGGGGUUGAAAGGGACACAGCCCACAGCAGGGGCACCCAGGGCAAGGCACACAAGAACACAUCCAGGUGGGGCUUGAAAGCCUCCAAAGCAGGAGACUCCGCAGCCUGCUCCAGGCUCCAGCACCCUCACACCAGAGAAGUCUCUCCUCACGCUGAGGUGCAGCCUCCUGGGUGGCAGUUUGUGUCCUCUGCCCCUUGUCCUGUCACAGGGCAGCACUGAACAGAGCCUGGCCCCUGCUGCUUGCCCCCAGCCCUCAGCUAUUUAGAGACACUGAUCAGAUUCCCUCUGGGGCUGCUCCUCUGCAGGCUCUCAGCCGCAGGGCUCUCAGCCCUAGCUUCUCACACAGAUGUCCUAGUCCCCUGUUACAAGCACUCCAGCCUGAGCUGUAAGAAGGAAGCCACCUCCAGGCUGCAUCUAGAACAUGCCAAAGCAUUCAGACAGCAGCCUGCCAGCAGCGACUGAGUGCCUACAGCAGACCAGCCCUGCCCAGGACCUGCCGGGGAAGGCACUCAGCCAAGAGAAGGCAUCUCGCAGCCCCGUGCUGGGGCAGUCAAAGGGUUAACGGCACGGCCGAGUGGCUGCUCCGCUGGCUGAUAAGCACAGAACGUUGUAAUUUGGGAGAUUUAUGCAUUGCUGAGGUCAGGCAGCAGCUUGCAGACAACAGGGCCUGUCCCUUACCUGCUGGGCACAGACAAUCCCUGCAUGCCUGGAACCCCGCAGCCCUCUAAGCCUCUUGCUCUGCAGCCCUGGCAGCUGGCACUGACUCAGUUCUCUGUUAGUUUAUUUAUAUCUUUUUGUUUUGCCUUUGUAACUAAAUAAAAACUCCAGAGCCCUGUUAGCCAACAA
Pogoniulus pusillus (Red-fronted tinkerbird) is the source of this 2549-nucleotide long non-coding RNA. RefSeq lists it as uncharacterized. The record is from RefSeq and is a predicted model, not a curated record. The transcript has 3 exons. Lineage: Eukaryota; Metazoa; Chordata; Aves; Piciformes; Lybiidae.